UGAGAGGAGUAGCCCGGAGAUGGGUACUGAGACACGGACCCAGGCCUUAUGGGGCGCAGCAGGCGAGAAAACUUUGCAAUGUGCGAAAGCACGACAAGGUUAAUCCGAGUGGUUUCUGCUAAAGGAACCUUUUGUUAGUCCUAGAAACACUAACGAAUAAGGGGUGGGCAAGUUCUGGUGUCAGCCGCCGCGGUAAAACCAGCACCUCAAGUGGUCAGGAUGAUUAUUGGGCCUAAAGCAUCCGUAGCCGGCUCUGUAAGUUUUCGGUUAAAUCUGUACGCUCAACGUACAGGCUGCCGGGAAUACUGCAGAGCUAGGGAGUGGGAGAGGUAGACGGUACUCGGUAGGAAGGGGUAAAAUCCUUUGAUCUAUUGAUGACCACCUGUGGCGAAGGCGGUCUACCAGAACACGUCCGACGGUGAGGGAUGAAAGCUGGGGGAGCAAACCGGAUUAGAUACCCGGGUAGUCCCAGCUGUAAACUAUGCAAACUCAGUGAUGCAUUGGCUUGUGGCCAAUGCAGUGCUGCAGGGAAGCCGUUAAGUUUGCCGCCUGGGAAGUACGUACGCAAGUAUGAAA
This 576-nucleotide ribosomal RNA is filed under the name uncultured marine group I thaumarchaeote. RNAcentral's name for it is "bacterial SSU rRNA". It matches the Rfam family "Archaeal small subunit ribosomal RNA", at positions 277 to 854 of the family's 1478-position model. The record is from RNAcentral. Lineage: Archaea; Thermoproteati; Nitrososphaerota.